CUACGGGACGCUGCAGUGAGGAAUUUUGCGCAAUGGGGGGAACCCUGACGCAGCAACGCCGCGUGAGUGAUGAAGGCUUUCGGGUCGUAAAGCUCUGUCAAGUGGGAAGAACCUAUGCAGUGUUAAUAUCACUGUAUACUGACGGUACCACUGAAGGAAGCACCGGCUAACUCCGUGCCAGCAGCCGCGGUAAUACGGGGGGUGCAAGCGUUAUUCGGAAUCAUUGGGCGUAAAGGGCACGUAGGCGGCUUGGUAAGUCAGAUGUGAAAGCCCGGGGCUUAACCCGGGAAGUGCAUUUGAUACUGGCAGGAUUGAGUAUGGGAGAGGGAAGUGGAAUUCCUGGUGUAGAGGCGAAAUUCGUAGAUAUCAGGAGGAACACCGGUGGCGAAGGCGACUUCCUGGACCAAUACUGACGCUGAGGUGCGAAGGCGUGGGUAGCAAACAGGAUUAGAUACCCGUGUAGUC
Molecule: ribosomal RNA, 465 nt
Filed under: uncultured bacterium
Lineage: Bacteria
Description: partial 16S ribosomal RNA
Rfam family: Bacterial small subunit ribosomal RNA
Source: RNAcentral